RNAcentral lists this ribosomal RNA (253 nucleotides) under uncultured bacterium. RNAcentral's name for it is "partial 16S ribosomal RNA". It matches the Rfam family "Bacterial small subunit ribosomal RNA", at positions 524 to 776 of the family's 1533-position model. The record is from RNAcentral.
GACAGAGGAUGCAAGCGUUAUCCGGAAUGAUUGGGCGUAAAGCGUCUGUAGGUGGCUUUUUAAGUCUGCCGUCAAAUCCCAGGGCUUAACCCUGGACAGGCGGUGGAAACUACCAAGCUGGAGUACGGUAGGGGCAGGGGGAAUUUCCGGUGGAGCGGUGAAAUGCGUAGAGAUCGGAAAGAACACCAACGGCGAAAGCACUCUGCUGGGCCGCAACUGACACUGAGGGACGAAAGCUAGGGGAGCGAAUGGG